CCUUUUGUUCAGAAUGGGGGCUUCCAGUUCGCUGGAGUCCCCUAUCUGCAUCCAUGUCUUUUGCGUACUUGAGCGUUUCCUCGGCGGGUCCCACCCGCCGAAUGGACAACCACAUAAACCUUUUUGUACUUGCAAUCAGCGUCUGAAUACCAAUAAUUAUUUA
Molecule: unclassified non-coding RNA, 163 nt
Filed under: uncultured Ascomycota
Lineage: Eukaryota; Fungi; Ascomycota
Description: sequence contains ITS1
Source: RNAcentral